This 132-nucleotide RNase P RNA is filed under the name Acidobacteriota bacterium. Its description in RNAcentral is "Acidobacteria bacterium partial RNase P RNA component class A". It matches the Rfam family "Bacterial RNase P class A", at positions 1 to 135 of the family's 367-position model. Rfam says of the family: Ribonuclease P (RNase P) is a ubiquitous endoribonuclease, found in archaea, bacteria and eukarya as well as chloroplasts and mitochondria. Its best characterised activity is the generation of mature 5'-ends of tRNAs by cleaving the 5'-leader elements of precursor-tRNAs. Cellular RNase Ps are ribonucleoproteins. Lineage: Bacteria; Pseudomonadati; Acidobacteriota. The record is from RNAcentral.
GGAGUCGGCGAGAGGAUCGCUGCGGGCCCCUGGCCCGCGGAGGAAAGUCCGGACUCCACAGGGUAGCGCGCUGGGUAACGCCCAGGCGGGGUGACCCGACGGAAAGUGCAACAGAGAGCAGACCGCCAGCGG